UUUUAGCCCCGACAGAAGCGGCAUCCUUUUUCUCGCUUCUUUAGCGAGGAAAAGAUAUAAUGCAUGGCGGGAAUAGCU
RNAcentral lists this small RNA (78 nucleotides) under Flavobacterium swingsii. RNAcentral's name for it is "Flavo-1 RNA". It matches the Rfam family "Flavo-1 RNA". Lineage: Bacteria; Pseudomonadati; Bacteroidota; Flavobacteriia; Flavobacteriales; Flavobacteriaceae. The record is from RNAcentral.